RNAcentral lists this unclassified non-coding RNA (264 nucleotides) under Hevea brasiliensis (rubber tree). Lineage: Eukaryota; Viridiplantae; Streptophyta; Magnoliopsida; Malpighiales; Euphorbiaceae. The record is from RNAcentral.
GCCCCGCCGUUACAUCCACCAUCGUCGCCGCUUCCCCCCGCGUAUGUCGCUCGCGAGCCCCAAAGGUUUGGGCGGCGGCCGAAGGGCCACCGUUCCUAAAGUGAGGCACCGCACUGGCAUCCACGGGCAUUUCCCCCGUUCAGCGACCCGACGACACUCGACUUCACCCGGCAAAAUUUGCCCAGUUUAUGGUUAGUAAAGAGUUAACGGGAAAGCCGACGGCCGAAAAUGUCGUGUGCGGGAGGAUGUUAUUCUCGCAUAACC